This 553-nucleotide ribosomal RNA is filed under the name uncultured Actinomycetes bacterium. RNAcentral's name for it is "bacterial SSU rRNA". It matches the Rfam family "Bacterial small subunit ribosomal RNA", at positions 254 to 819 of the family's 1533-position model. The record is from RNAcentral. Lineage: Bacteria; Bacillati; Actinomycetota; Actinomycetes.
GGGGUAGUGGCCUACCAAGGCGACGACGGGUAGCCGGCCUGAGAGGGUGAUCGGCCACAUUGGGACUGAGAUACGGCCCAGACUCCUACGGGAGGCAGCAGUGGGGAAUAUUGCACAAUGGGCGCAAGCCUGAUGCAGCGACGCCGCGUGAGGGAUGACGGCCUUCGGGUUGUAAACCUCUUUCAGCAGGGAAGAAGCGCAAGUGACGGUACCUGCAGAAGAAGCGCCGGCUAACUACGUGCCAGCAGCCGCGGUAAUACGUAGGGCGCGAGCGUUGUCCGGAAUUAUUGGGCGUAAAGAGCUCGUAGGCGGCUUGCCGCGUCGGUUGUGAAAGCCCGGGGCUUAACCCCGGGUCUGCAGUCGAUACGGGCAGGCUAGAGUUCGGUAGGGGAGAUCGGAAUUCCUGGUGUAGCGGUGAAAUGCGCAGAUAUCAGGAGGAACACCGGUGGCGAAGGCGGAUCUCUGGGCCGAUACUGACGCUGAGGAGCGAAAGCGUGGGGAGCGAACAGGAUUAGAUACCCUGGUAGUCCACGCCGUAAACGGUGGGCACUAG